This 253-nucleotide ribosomal RNA is filed under the name uncultured bacterium. RNAcentral's name for it is "partial 16S ribosomal RNA". It matches the Rfam family "Bacterial small subunit ribosomal RNA", at positions 524 to 776 of the family's 1533-position model. The record is from RNAcentral.
UACAGAGGUCCCAAGCGUUGUUCGGAUUCACUGGGCGUAAAGGGUGCGUAGGCGGCGGGGAAAGUUUGAUGUGAAAGCUCCGGGCUUAACCCGGAAAUGGCAUUGAAAACUCCCCCGCUCGAGGAUUGGAUGGGAGACUGGAAUGCUCGGUGUAGCAGUGAAAUGCGUAGAUAUCGAGCGGAACAUCAGUGGCGAAGGCGAGUCUCUGGACAAUUCCUGACGCUGAGGCACGAAAGCCAGGGUAGCAAACGGG